GGCGAACGUUUGCGGCGGGCUUAACACAUGCAAGUCGAACGAUAACCGUCCCUUCGGGGAUGGGGAAAGUGGCGCACGGGUGCGUAACACGUGGAUAACCAACCCUCUAAACUGGGACAACCAGGGGAAACCCUGGCUAAUACCGGAUGUGGCGCAGAGAACCUCGGUUUUUUGGCGCGAAAGACCCGGAAGGGUCGUUAGGGGACGGGUUCGCGGCCCAUCAGCUUGUUGGCGAGGUAAUGGCUCACCAAGGCUAAGACGGGUAGCUGGUCUGAGAGGAUGAUCAGCCACACUGGAACUGAGACACGGUCCAGACUCCUACGGGAGGCAGCAGUGGGGAAUAUUGCGCAAUGGGCGAAAGCCUGACGCAGCCACGCCGCGUGUGCGAUGAAGGUCUUCGGAUCGUAAAGCACUGUGGAGGGAGAAGAAUAAAGCCGGUGAAGAGCCGGCCUUGACGGUAUCCCUUUAGCAAGCACCGGCUAACUCCGUGCCAGCAGCCGCGGUAAUACGGAGGGUGCAAACGUUGCUCGGAAUCAUUGGGCGUAAAGCGCACGUAGGCGGCUGAGAAGGUUGGAUGUGAAAAGCCCGGGGGCUCAACCCCGGAAGUGCA
RNAcentral lists this ribosomal RNA (610 nucleotides) under uncultured bacterium. Its description in RNAcentral is "bacterial SSU rRNA". It matches the Rfam family "Bacterial small subunit ribosomal RNA", at positions 28 to 625 of the family's 1533-position model. The record is from RNAcentral.